UCCAGACUCCUACGGGAGGCAGCAGUGGGGAAUAUUGCACAAUGGGGGAAACCCUGAUGCAGCGACGCCGCGUGAGUGAAGAAGUAUUUCGGUAUGUAAAGCUCUAUCAGCAGGGAAGAAAAUGACGGUACCUGAUUAAGAAGCCCCGGCUAACUACGUGCCAGCAGCCGCGGUAAUACGUAGGGGGCAAGCGUUAUCCGGAUUUACUGGGUGUAAAGGGAGCGUAGACGGUGAUGCAAGUCAGAAGUGAAAGCCCGGGGCUCAACUCCGGGACUGCUUUUGAAACUGUGUGACUGGAGUGCAGGAGAGGUAAGCGGAAUUCCUGGUGUAGCGGUGAAAUGCGUAGAUAUCAGGAGGAACACCAGUGGCGAAGGCGGCUUGCUGGACAGUAACUGACGUUGAGGCUCGAAAGCGUGGGGAGCAAACAGGAUUAGAUACCCCGGUAA
Molecule: ribosomal RNA, 446 nt
Filed under: uncultured bacterium
Lineage: Bacteria
Description: bacterial SSU rRNA
Rfam family: Bacterial small subunit ribosomal RNA
Source: RNAcentral